Molecule: small nuclear RNA, 182 nt
Organism: Tachyglossus aculeatus (Australian echidna)
Lineage: Eukaryota; Metazoa; Chordata; Mammalia; Monotremata; Tachyglossidae
Product: U2 spliceosomal RNA
Exons: 1
Source: RefSeq, a predicted model, not a curated record
GUCCCUACCCAACAGCAGGCUCACAGUCUAGAAGGUCAGUUUAAUAUCUGAUAUGUUUUCGAUGUGAAGACGCUGUGUUAAGUAGCUUUUUGGAGAAAGGAGGUGGGUUGGGAGCCUGCUGCGUCCCCGCCACGCAUCGGCCUGGUGUUGCAGUACUUCCUCGUAUUUAUUGAGCACUUACU